This 289-nucleotide RNase P RNA is filed under the name Anaerococcus tetradius. RNAcentral describes it as "RNA component of RNase P". It matches the Rfam family "Bacterial RNase P class A", at positions 43 to 351 of the family's 367-position model. From Rfam's summary of the family: Ribonuclease P (RNase P) is a ubiquitous endoribonuclease, found in archaea, bacteria and eukarya as well as chloroplasts and mitochondria. Its best characterised activity is the generation of mature 5'-ends of tRNAs by cleaving the 5'-leader elements of precursor-tRNAs. Lineage: Bacteria; Bacillati; Bacillota; Tissierellia; Tissierellales; Peptoniphilaceae. RNAcentral also lists the same sequence under 1 other name. The record is from RNAcentral.
GAGGAAAGUCCGUGCACCACAGAGCAAGGAUGCUUGAUAACGUCAAGUAGGAGUGAUCUUCAGGCAAGUGCAACAGAAAGUAUACCGCCAGAUAUCUGGUAAGGUUGGAAUGGCGAGGUAAGAGCUCACCAGCUAUCUAGUGAUAGAUAGGCUAUGUAAACCCCAUCCGGUGCAAGAACGAAAGGGACAGUAGGAUGCCUGCUCGGCACAGUCCAGUAUGGUUGUUCGCUUGAGCUUAUUGGCGACAGUAAGCCUAGACAGAUGAUUAUCCAAGACAGAACACGGCUUA